GCGCACCAGUCGCGAAUUUUCACAAUGGGGGAAACCCUGAUGGAGCGACGCCGCGUGGAGGAUGAAGGCCUUUUGGUCGUAAACUCCUGUCAAACGGGAACAAGAAAGUGAUAGUACCGUUAGAGGAAGAGGCGGCUAACUCUGUGCCAGCAGCCGCGGUAAUACAGAGGCCUCAAGCGUUGUUCGGAUUCAUUGGGCGUAAAGGGUGCGUAGGUGGCUUGUUAGGUUGAAGGUGAAAUCUCGGGGCUCAACUCCGAAACUGCCUUCAAUACUGGCGAGCUCGAGGAUUGUAGAGGAGAAUGGAAUUCACGGUGUAGCAGUGAAAUGCGUAGAUAUCGUGAGGAAGACCAGUGGCGAAGGCGAUUCUCUGGGCAAUUCCUGACACUGAGGCACGAAGGCCAGGGGAGCAAACGGG
This 415-nucleotide ribosomal RNA is filed under the name uncultured organism. Its description in RNAcentral is "bacterial SSU rRNA". It matches the Rfam family "Bacterial small subunit ribosomal RNA", at positions 346 to 776 of the family's 1533-position model. The record is from RNAcentral.